Molecule: ribosomal RNA, 1278 nt
Filed under: unidentified
Description: Cryptocephalus dimidiatipennis 16S ribosomal RNA
Rfam family: Archaeal large subunit ribosomal RNA (bases 848-1215)
Source: RNAcentral
AAGAAAAUUUUUAUUAUAAAUAAUUUUUAAUUAGAGAUUUCUUAAAAUAUUAAUAUUUGAUUAAUGCUGUGAAAAAAUUUUUUUAAUAAUAGAUGAUUUGUAUUGUGAAAGAAUAUUUUUAUUUAUUAAAAAGAAAAAUUAAUUUUUUGUACCUUGUGUAUCAGGGCUUAUUAAAUUUAAACUAAAAGUUUAGAAGUCUCGAAUCUAAAAGAGCUAAUACUUUAUUUUUUAAAUGUUUCAUAAUUUUUAAGAAUAUGGUUUUAGAAAUGAAAUGUUAUUCGUUUUUUGAUAUAUCUAGUUUUUUGAGAAAUAAAUUUAAUUUAUUAAUUUUUAAAAUUUACUUAUUUUUAAGGUAGAUUUUGAAAAUUUUUAAUUUUCUUAGGGAAAAGCUUGAGAAAGUAGUUUUAUUUAUUUUUGAUAGUGAAUUUAUUAGUAGGAUUGUAAUUUUCUAUCUUUUUUAUGAUGUUAUAGUUUUUUUAUUAUUAUUUAUUAUUUUUAUUGUUAAUAAAUUUUUUAUCAAAAUAUUAAAUUUUAUGUUUUAAUUUAAGGAAUAAUGAUUGGAUUAGUAUAUUUUUAUGUAAUUGUUAACAAAUUUUGAAGAUUUAAUUAAUAAAUUCGGCAAUUUUAUUUUUCACCUGUUUAUUAAAAACAUGUUCUUUAAGAUUAUAAUUAAAGGUCUGGCCUGCUCAAUGAUUUAAAAUUAAAUAGCUGCAGUAUUUUGACUGUACUAAGGUAGCAUAAUCAUUAGCUUUUUAAAUGAAAGCUGGUAUGAAGGGUUUAAUGAGAAAAUAGCUGUCUCUUUUAUAUAAAUAUAAAUUUAUUUUUAAGUAAAAAAGCUUAAAUUUAAUUAAAAGACGAGAAGACCCUAUAGAGUUUUAUAAUUUAUAUAUUUUUGUUAUUAAGGUUUAAAAUUUACGUUAAUAUUAAAGAUUAUUUGGUUGGGGUGACUAAAAAAUUCAUUGAACUUUUUUAUUAAUUAAACUUUAAUUAAAGAUUAGUUAGACCCGUUUUUGACGUUUAAAAGAAUAAAUUACCUUAGGGAUAACAGCGUAAUCUUUUUUUAGAGUUCUUAUCGAUAAAAGGGAUUGCGACCUCGAUGUUGGAUUAAAAUUAACUUUUAGGUGCAAAAGCUAUAAGGUUGAGUCUGUUCGACUUUUAAAAUUUUACAUGAUCUGAGUUUAAACCGGCGUGAGCCAGGUUGGUUUCUAUCUUUAAUGAAUUAAAAAAUUUUAGUACGAAAGGACCAAAUUUUGAAUUAAAAAUUUAUAAUUGAAUAUU